AAACUUCACUUAAAUUCCUUUCCACAGCAAGCCUUCUUUUUAUCACAAAUUUCCACCUGUCAACAUUUUCAAAACGAUGAAAGGAAAUGUUGUCAAUGGGUACAAGGGAUACAUCUUGAGGGAUCCUCUUUUUCUUCACAGACUUCUUUGAGGAUGCUGCAGGCGAUGCAGUAGCAUGUUGGUCUUCCUCAAACUCUGAAUCACCAGAGGAAAUAGUCUUCCUCCUCAAAAGCUUCUUCUUUGGCUCAGAGGGCCUAGUAAUCUUACUUCACUGUCUUUUAAGACCAUAGAUUUUCUUUUCCUUGGCAGUCUUGACAGAAACAUUAGAAACAGCUACACCUUUAAGGUUGAGAUUGUCCACAUAAAUAACAUUUGAAUCUUUCUCAGCAGAUUCAUCAACAUUCAAAGGAACAAACAUAGUUUUACCACUAUCAUCAACAUAAGGGAUCACAUAGAUAUCAUGAACAAAAACAUUAUCAGUAGUAGUUGCUUCAGAACCCUUUUCUUUGUCAGGAACAAUAACAUCGUCUGGAGACUCGGGUAUCACG
This 548-nucleotide long non-coding RNA is filed under the name Trifolium pratense (red clover). RNAcentral's name for it is "long non-coding RNA (TPRA_LNC007222)". The record is from RNAcentral. Lineage: Eukaryota; Viridiplantae; Streptophyta; Magnoliopsida; Fabales; Fabaceae.